AGUGAACGCUGGCGGUAGGCCUUACACAUGCAAGUCGAACGGCAGCACAGUAAGAGCUUGCUCUUACGGGUGGCGAGUGGCGGACGGGUGAGGAAUACAUCGGAAUCUACUUUUUCGUGGGGGAUAACGUAGGGAAACUUACGCUAAUACCGCAUACGACCUACGGGUGAAAGCAGGGGAUCUUCGGACCUUGCGCGAUUGAAUGAGCCGAUGUCGGAUUAGCUAGUUGGCGGGGUAAAGGCCCACCAAGGCGACGAUCCGUAGCUGGUCUGAGAGGAUGAUCAGCCACACUGGAACUGAGACACGGUCCAGACUCCUACGGGAGGCAGCAGUGGGGAAUAUUGGACAAUGGGCGCAAGCCUGAUCCAGCCAUACCGCGUGGGUGAAGAAGGCCUUCGGGUUGUAAAGCCCUUUUGUUGGGAAAGAAAAGCAGCAGGUUAAUACCUCGCUGUUCUGACGGUACCCAAAGAAUAAGCACCGGCUAACUUCGUG
Molecule: ribosomal RNA, 492 nt
Filed under: uncultured bacterium
Lineage: Bacteria
Description: partial 16S ribosomal RNA
Rfam family: Bacterial small subunit ribosomal RNA
Source: RNAcentral